This 506-nucleotide ribosomal RNA is filed under the name uncultured bacterium. Its description in RNAcentral is "partial 16S ribosomal RNA". It matches the Rfam family "Bacterial small subunit ribosomal RNA", at positions 29 to 523 of the family's 1533-position model. The record is from RNAcentral.
AUUGAACGCUGGCGGCAGGCCUAACACAUGCAAGUCGGACGGUAGCACAGGGGAGCUUGCUCCUCGGGUGACGAGUGGCGGACGGGUGAGUAAUGUCUGGGGAUCUGCCCGAUAGAGGGGGAUAACCACUGGAAACGGUGGCUAAUACCGCAUAACGUCGCAAGACCAAAGAGGGGGACCUUCGGGCCUCUCACUAUCGGAUGAACCCAGAUGGGAUUAGCUAGUAGGCGGGGUAAUGGCCCACCUAGGCGACGAUCCCUAGCUGGUCUGAGAGGAUGACCAGCCACACUGGAACUGAGACACGGUCCAGACUCCUACGGGAGGCAGCAGUGGGGAAUAUUGCACAAUGGGCGCAAGCCUGAUGCAGCCAUGCCGCGUGUAUGAAGAAGGCCUUCGGGUUGUAAAGUACUUUCAGCGGGGAGGAAGGCGGUGCGGUUAAUAACCGCGCCGAUUGACGUUACCCGCAGAAGAAGCACCGGCUAACUCCGUGCCAGCAGCCGCAGUAA